AGAGCGAACGCUGGCGGCAGGCCUAACACAUGCAAGUCGAACGGACCCUUCGGGGUUAGUGGCGGACGGGUGAGUAACACGUGGGAACGUGCCUUUUGGUUCGGAAUAGCUCCUGGAAACGGGUGGUAAUGCCGAAUGUGCCCUUCGGGGGAAAGAUUUAUCGCCAUUAGAGCGGCCCGCGUCUGAUUAGCUAGUUGGUGAGGUAAGGCUCACCAAGGCUACGAUCAGUAGCUGGUCUGAGAGGAUGACCAGCCACAUUGGGACUGAGACACGGCCCAAACUCCUACGGGAGCAGCAGUGGGGAAUCUUGCGCAAUGGG
RNAcentral lists this ribosomal RNA (319 nucleotides) under uncultured soil bacterium. RNAcentral's name for it is "bacterial SSU rRNA". It matches the Rfam family "Bacterial small subunit ribosomal RNA", at positions 26 to 375 of the family's 1533-position model. The record is from RNAcentral.